UGUUACUUUUAUACUGUACAAGACACAUGAAAUAAUAAAUAAUUUUGUGUAAAAUAAAAUAAUCAGACAGAAACAUAAUCCCACACAACAUUCCAAUUUGACUAUGGUUGGUUAAGCUAAAAUAGACUUGGCUUGUUGCCCACUCAAAUUCAAUUUAUUUUGUUAUAACCUUAAACCAGACUAGAAUAGAAUAUAUUGAGUUUUUCACAGGAAAACAAGAGAAAAAACAACUAAACCUGCUUCUAUGACCUUAAAUCUCACACAAGUUCUGUAGACAUCCUUUUUGGGAUAUAUUAGGGGGAAGUUCACUAUAGUUAUCAUUGAUUCAUUCACUCUGUAAU
This 341-nucleotide long non-coding RNA is filed under the name Mytilus galloprovincialis (Mediterranean mussel). Lineage: Eukaryota; Metazoa; Mollusca; Bivalvia; Mytilida; Mytilidae. The record is from RNAcentral.